Molecule: ribosomal RNA, 253 nt
Filed under: uncultured bacterium
Lineage: Bacteria
Description: partial 16S ribosomal RNA
Rfam family: Bacterial small subunit ribosomal RNA
Source: RNAcentral
UACGUAGGGUGCAAGCGUUAAUCGGAAUUCCUGGGCGUAAAGCGUGCGCAGGCGGUUUUGUAAGACAGAUGUGAAAUGCCCGGGCUUAACCUGGGAACUGCAUUUGUGACUGCAUGGCUAGAGUGUGUCAGAGGGGGGUAGAAUUCCACGUGUAGCAGUGAAAUGCGUAGAUAUGUGGAGGAAUACCGAUGGCGAAGGCAGCCCCCUGGGAUAACACUGACGCUCAUGCACGAAAGCGUGGGGAGCAAACAGG